Molecule: small nucleolar RNA, 132 nt
Organism: Arvicanthis niloticus (Nile rat)
Lineage: Eukaryota; Metazoa; Chordata; Mammalia; Rodentia; Muridae
Product: small nucleolar RNA SNORA17
Source: RefSeq, a predicted model, not a curated record
ACUGCCCCUAGAAGCGUUGCAGGUAUGGCUGCUGUAUCACAAAUACAUCAGUAAGUGGCAGAGAGGAGAGAAAAGAUGUCUACAUUCAAUGGUCUGACCUAUGAACAUCUGAAUGAUUAGAAGCCUAACAUU